Molecule: ribosomal RNA, 279 nt
Filed under: uncultured bacterium
Lineage: Bacteria
Description: partial 16S ribosomal RNA
Rfam family: Bacterial small subunit ribosomal RNA
Source: RNAcentral
UGCCAGCAGCCGCGGUAAUACGAAGGGACAUAGCGUAGUUCGGAAUUACUGGGCUUAAAGCGUAUGUAGGCGGAUCAAAAAGUUAGAUGUGAAAUCCCUGGGCUCAACCCAGGAACUGCAUUUAAAACUAGUGAUCUAGAAAUUGGUAAAGGUUAGUAGAAUUUCCAGUGUAGAGGUGAAAUUCGUAGAUAUUGGAAAGAAUACCAGAAGCGAAGGCGACUAACUAGGCCAUUUUUGACGCUGAGAUACGAAAGCGUGGGUAGCAAACAGGAUUAGAUA